Molecule: non-coding RNA, 796 nt
Organism: Salmo salar (Atlantic salmon)
Lineage: Eukaryota; Metazoa; Chordata; Actinopteri; Salmoniformes; Salmonidae
Source: RefSeq, a predicted model, not a curated record
CUGCCAGGGGGAUACCGACAAAAACACACAAACACAUUGAACCUGAUGGACACACACGCAGCUCGUCUGUGCUCAGUGACCUUGGCGGGCACCCGGAAGAGGAAGGGAGGGGACACACAGCUGACAGUCUGACAGCUGGGUGAAACUAUUGCCACAGUGUCUCAUCCAGCAUACACAUGCCACGUAUUACUUCUCAUUAUGGACUGGGCAGAAUAAUACAUCGCUAACAUAGAAUGACUGCACAAGGAUCUGAGUGGAUCGAAAUGUGACAACAAGGUAUCAAUUCACAUACUGGGCAAGUCUGACAGGAGGAUGGGAAAAACAGUGGCAGCAACAUGCUCUGGUCUAUGUCACUUCUCAUCGCGACCAAUGAGAGCCCACCUAGGUAUCAAUUCACAAUAAAAGGGAGCUGGUCGGGACUACAGGAUGUUAAGCACAUGGCUGCCAUCUGCAAGAAGGGAGAUUACUGAGACAAGCUACAGUGACAGCAUGACCGCCAGGACCACAAUCCAUCUCUGCUCCUCUGAUCCAAGGAAAUCAUGCUAAUCAUGCCCUCUCAUGUCGCCAUCUGGUGGUCAAAACAUGCACCACAGCAAUAACUUGCAACGUCAUCUAUCUGUAUGCUCGGAGGUCUGGGCAAAAAAACAUAUUUUUAUACUCACCCCUCCCAUUGUUAUCCCAUCAAUAAGGGCCACAUAUGGUUUCUGACAUGUUCCUUAAAAUAUGAAAUAAAAUGUAAGUCAAAGCAAGUGUUGUAGAAAAAGUCACCGAUAGCCAAACUAGGGAAACAGGUGCU